Sebastes umbrosus (honeycomb rockfish) is the source of this 1168-nucleotide long non-coding RNA. RefSeq lists it as uncharacterized. The record is from RefSeq and is a predicted model, not a curated record. The transcript is spliced from 4 exons. NCBI's taxonomy places the organism in Eukaryota, Metazoa, Chordata, Actinopteri, Perciformes, Sebastidae.
UAAAAAACAUGCAUUUAAUAUAAAUAUAAAAAAAUAUAUAAUAUAUAAGUAUAUUAGUAUAAUAAAAAAUAAAUACAAAAAUUAAAAAUGAAUUAAUACAAAUUAGACAGUGAUUAAGACAAUGGGAAUGCCAGCUGGAGCAGCCAAUCAUCAGUCUGGGACUCGACACCGAGGAGCCAAUCAGCAGCCGAGAAGUGGAGCUGCAGUCUGAAGGAGGGCGUUUUUAAAUGAAGGAGAAGGACCACGCUAGAACCAGCUACCAAUUAUCCACCAGGACACCUGUCGAGAUGGAGCCGAGCUGUAACCAGUUAGCUUCAACAUUUAGCCCCAGGUUACUCUACAAGAUCUACUACAAAAAUGUCUAAAAGGAUGUUGAACCCCAUGGAUGACCUGCCCUGCCGAGAUUUACAAGAUUUCUGCCUCUCGGAGAAGAAGCCUCAGCUCGGGGGGGGGGAGGGACGCCGUCCUCGGGAUGUUAAUUACCCCACAGUCACCGGCGGGAGUUCUGCUGAUAGAGAGCGACCAGCUCAGAGCGAGACCGUGCAGCCGGCGAGAGAUUCAUGACCUGCUUUAAUCUUCUUUUCACUUGUUGACUCCAUCCUUCUGGUUAUCACUACAAUUUAUUUUUCUACCGCUUGCUGCCACCAGCAGCAAAGUUAUAACCGCCUGCUCCCGCUGGAUCCCAAUCGUAUUGGUAUACUGGUAUCUGAUACCCUUUCUAGUAUCGGUAUACCGUGCAACACUAAUCUCGACAGCUCAACGUUCGGACAUGAGUUGUUGUUGUUGUGUUUGCUACACAAAAUACAGACCAUGAAUUGAAAAGGCUGUAAAUCAGUUGUGUGUUUCAUAAGAGAGCAGCAGAGAGGAAGGGAGGAGGUGACGGAGAGAUGAGUGUUAUGUGGGUGGGUGAUAAUGUGGUUGGGGGCUGAUAACACCACCUGUCAGUCUAAAGUGUUGUUGAUGUGUUUUCAGUUGGAUAACUAACGUGCAGCCCGUUGACUCCUGACCCUGGAAACAGGACCCGGGUCACCCAGCGGGGAGGAUUUAAACUCACAGUCAGGAUUAUUAUGGAUUAUCCAUCUGUCAGAGAUGCUGCUGGGAUGUUCCCCAACAAUAUAAAAUACAUAAUAGAGAGGGAAUUAUGACCUACUUAACUUCCUAACAUGAG